RNAcentral lists this long non-coding RNA (313 nucleotides) under Aotus nancymaae (Ma's night monkey). RNAcentral's name for it is "lncRNA (ENSANAG00000038891.1)". Lineage: Eukaryota; Metazoa; Chordata; Mammalia; Primates; Aotidae. The record is from RNAcentral.
AGAGCCUUUCCAUGACCCGGGGAUUUCAAGAGGAUCGAAGAGGGAAGACCAAGGAAUCAGGAAUCUUUUCUCUCUCUCUUUUCUGGGUAACAACCACUCUGAAAAGAAGAUAUUUUUCAACCUGGACUUGAAGUAACUAGUGGAGAGGCAGGUAAGGAAAAAGGAAAUGAAACCAGAGACAGAGGGAAGCUGAGCGAAAAUAGACCUUCCCGAGAGAGGAGGAAGCCCGGGGAGAGACGCACGGUCCCCUCCCCGCCCCCAGGCCGCCGCCCCCUCUCUGCCCUCUGCGGCGAGCUGCGCUCCGAGACCCGGG